This 867-nucleotide long non-coding RNA is filed under the name Homo sapiens (human). RNAcentral's name for it is "HSALNT0123221". Lineage: Eukaryota; Metazoa; Chordata; Mammalia; Primates; Hominidae. The record is from RNAcentral.
GGGGUCCCUGACUUCCUGCAACAGCCACUGGCGUCGGAAAUGCUGCCCUUCUGUAGGGUCAGGCGGAGAGAGGUGAUUGCAUCAGGCUGCCUGACACUGGCUGGCAGAAGCUGAAAUUCUCAAGCUAUGCCCAGUGAACUGCUUCCUGGUAAAUACUUCACGUCCUCAGCAGCACAAUGAAGUUAGAAAAAAAUGCAAAAAUACUUCCUGAGUGAAUAAAUGAUGAUGUUUUUUGUAAUGCAAUGCACACACAAACACACCACUUCCAAGGAAGGGAAUCAUUAAAAUAUUUUUAACCCAUUUCACAUCAAUAUUGCCCAUGUUAUCUGAAUCACCACUUGGCAAAAUGAUAUAUAUAUAUAUAUCAUUAAAUUGGACUGUGAGAGCUGACCAUAAACACGUUGCAGAAGAAAGUCCUGGUUUGUGAAGACAGGUGAAAGGAGAAAGUGCUUGCCUGCUAAUGGAAGAUAAAUUACCCAGGAAGGUAAAAAAUAAAAGGCAACCUGAAACAAAAGCAACAUGAAUCAAUUUCAUUCUGAAAAGAACAGAAGUGAAACAAUGUUGCUAAAUGAGACACAAUUUCUGACAAAGAUCUUCUCUGUUCUCCAAGAACUUUUGUUGUGCUGGGCGUACCAAGAAUUAUGUGUUUUCUUCCCAAAAAGUCAGUGUAUUUUAUUUUAUGUGUGGUACCUCUCUUUGCCUCUUCUCCCCACUUGCUACAAUUUAAGCUGUCUAUUGUAGUGCCCUAUCUCUGAUCAGCCCUAAAGAUCUGAAAAGUCCUGAGUUUGCAAGAAUUAAAAAAAAAAAAAAUAGGGCCUUGGGUUUGACAGUGAUAGAUCCUACUGUCCCCUCGGGAUGAUAUUCCUG